UGCGUAGGCGGUUCAAUAAGUCAGUGGUGAAAUACGGCAGCUCAACUGUCGAGGUGCCAUUGAUACUGUAGAACUUGAGUACAGACGAGGUAGGCGGAAUUGACGGUGUAGCGGUGAAAUGCUUAGAUAUCGUCAAGAACACCGAUAGCGAAGGCAGCUUACUAGACUGUAACUGACGCUGAGGCACGAAAGUGUGGGGAUCAAACAGGAUUAGAUACCCUGGUAGUCCACACUGUAAACGAUGAUUACUCGAUGUUGGCGAUACACAGCCAGCGUCUUAGCGAAAGCGAUAAGUAAUCCACCUGGGGAGUACGCCGGCAACGGUGAA
RNAcentral lists this ribosomal RNA (328 nucleotides) under uncultured bacterium. RNAcentral's name for it is "bacterial SSU rRNA". It matches the Rfam family "Bacterial small subunit ribosomal RNA", at positions 568 to 898 of the family's 1533-position model. The record is from RNAcentral.